GUUUGAGGUUUUUGGAAUAAUAAGCAUAUUACAAGAUAUUGGUGUGGGUGUGCUAGAAGUUAGUUGAUGUACAUAUCUAAAUACAUUGAGAUAUUGCGAAUUAUUCAUUUGGUGAAAUGCUUUACUAUAGACUAAAAUUGCUUUUCUGUACAAAAAUCUAUAUGAAAUGGACAUCAAUAGUAAAUCUCCAAAAAGUAAAUUUGACGAUUUCAUAUCGUUACACUCAUAUGUUUAUAUAGAAUAAAUGGGGCUGUCCUUUUUGCUUACUUAUCAUGAUCAUGAUUAACAUUUUUUGCACCUAACCAAACGGUACAUUGUUAAUUUAAAUAUGGGAAAAAAUGACUUCCUUUUACUUAAUCCGUAUUCAAUACAUGCAUGCAAUUAAAU
RNAcentral lists this long non-coding RNA (387 nucleotides) under Mytilus galloprovincialis (Mediterranean mussel). Lineage: Eukaryota; Metazoa; Mollusca; Bivalvia; Mytilida; Mytilidae. The record is from RNAcentral.